Molecule: long non-coding RNA, 3227 nt
Organism: Gallus gallus (chicken)
Lineage: Eukaryota; Metazoa; Chordata; Aves; Galliformes; Phasianidae
Exons: 3
Source: RefSeq, a predicted model, not a curated record
ACACACCAUCUGUGCCCACAGAAACUGCAUGAACCUCCCUCCCUGAGGGACAGGACAUGGACAAGCGUGUGACACUGAUACAGUGCACGAGGCACUCGCAUUUCAAGCUCAUCAGCCUGGGAUAAGGACCUAAGCAGAACAGUAGAGGGGUUACGUUGACCUGAAAGAAAGAUCACUAUCAGCUGCCACGCAGUCGUCAGUGCUCAUAAGCCAGGCAAACACAAGCCAGGAGCCUGAGUUCCACUGCUCCCUUAGCUGGUCAUCUAAUGUGUGUCUGCCUCUUCCCCUCAGUGAAGUUUGGGAUGAAUUACUCACUUCCCCAUUCCUCCAGCCCAAGACUUGAAAAACUGGUUGAGUUCCAGCCCCACCCAGACACACUUGCUUCUAAAAUAUCUGUCAUCUAAUGUUCAACUCGCGCUCGCAGUUCUACCAGACUUGGCAGUGAUGGCAGUGGAGGAGAGGAGCAAGGAAGAAGCUGCUAAACUUUCUUCCAUUUAAAUUCAUGUUCAUGAUUUCAGUGGUGCAGCACAAGUAACCAUAAGCAAUGAAACAAUUUCUGUUUUCACAUAAAAAAUGUGAAGCAUCAAAAAAUAUUUUCAUUAAGAAUGGACUUCAAUAACUUGUCAGAGCAAUAAAACCAUUCUUAUAAAGAUCAGCUAUUACACUUUCCACGGGAAAAAAGAAGAAUAAUCUUAUUAAUCCUAAGUGACUUCUUCAAAUGAAACCAUAAAUGACUUAUUUCCUUCCAUUUUCCAGUGUAUAUUAUCAGUAAAGCGUUAAUGAAAUGAGACUCCAGUGAAAAUCCCUCAGAGGGCUUUUUUUCAAAUAAGGAUCAGUUUGGUUCAGCAUAGCAAACAUACGUGGUCAGAGGGAACAAAUUUGCAGGAAAUAAAUCUGCAGAAUGAAUAUCUCGGCAGUUAGAAGGAAAAGCUCAUAUGUUGUACAAUGUUUCCAUAUGAAAUGCAUUUGAAUACGAGCGGUUCUAUUUAGAGACGGACCUUUCAUCCAAGCAUGAAGAACUGUUUUUAAGAGUUCAUGUUUCUGCUAAAACUCCAUAAAGCCAGCAGCCCGCUCCCUGCAGUGCGGUGGGCCCCGCUUCUCAUGCACCUGGCUGGCUGCUCCUGGGCACAAAUCCCAGACGUGGUUCCUCAAGGAGAUAAAUUUCACUUGCCCAGCAGUUUGGGUUAGCAAAACUGAGCUUGAAUGGAGAGGGAGUGAAUUUCACUGUGUGUAAUGAGCCAGAAAAGGAAGAUGGAGGUUUACUGUGUUUUGGUUAUUUUCCGGCCCAACUCCACAGUGAAUGCAAGAGAGACUCCUGCAGUAGCUUCUGUUCCCAUCAGCAGUUCAAACAGCCUAAAUAUUCACAUCUGUGUAAUAACGGUGCAAAAAUUAAAAUCUACUUUAAAAAAAAAUUACACGGUGAAAGUCACAAGGGAGGGAGGCUUUUUGCCAGAAGGUUAUUUUCUCAUUAUUUAACAGAAUCUCAUUUUAAAUGCUGUGCAGUCCAUCUCUGAAUGAAAGCUCAUAAAAGGCACAAUCCUUUAGGAAUUAAACUUUUAUGAAACGCAUUUUACUGUUCUGAGUAAAGAACUGUUGCCAGUGUAACUCUCAAACCACACCCAAGCCUACCCAUGUCAGGUGAGUACACAGCAAAGAGAAGAAGCUGAGAAUAUCUACCAUAGAGAAGCACUGCCUACAGAGCAAAAGGACAAAUUCCCUCAGAAUUACAAACUCUCACCUCAACCAUGUAAGAUCAUCACCGCUGCUAGAUCUCCACUGAAUUAAUACAAUCCCUGAUACAGAGGGAAAAAAGGGUUCUGACACUAAAAAAAAAAAAAAAAAAAAAAAAGGAACAAAAACCUGUUUGCAAACUGAAUAAGAGUAUGAGAAAAUACCAACAAAAGACUCAGAAAACGAAAGCGACGUCAUUGUGUUUUAAAAUGGAAAUGUACGCACACCCCACCCAAAUGUCAGUAGAUUAAGACUGAGAGGGACAGAUAACACACUUUGUUUACCUGACAUGUUAUCAUGAAGAGAAUCCUUUACUUGGAACAGCAAACAUAGGGAAAAUCCUACCUGUUGGUCAUCAAGGAGGAAAAUACCCCAAAGAAUGCUUUUUUGUGGCACUGAGCUGUCAUUUUCCAACAAGUUCCCCUAAUAACCUUGGAAACUCUUUCCUAAAAAGCUGGUCACUCAUUCUGAGUUCCGAGUUUGCACUGCUGGAGCCACAUCCUGCCAUUACUGUAAAAUUUUAUUUCCAUCAAUACAAAGUCCUGACGUUUCCUCACGUAGCUGCUCAGAACCGUAAGAGCUGUAUUUCUACACCCAGAGCAAUCCUGAAUAACUGUCCCAAAUGACUUUGCACUUCCAAGAAACUGUCACUCACUGGUCACCCAUUUCCUCAGAAACUAGCUCUAGCUUCUCAAUGGAGAAACUUCCUCCUGUGUGAAGGCUGGCCAUUUGUUCUUCCCUUUUUGGCCUUUGCUUACCUAUGUCCAUUAACCCACCAGAAAUAAAAAAAGCAAUCCCUCUUACUCUGCAACAGCUCAAUAUCUGUAGGAACACACGCUGAAACACUUCGAGUGCCACAGUAAGUUGUUUUGUUGUUCUUGACACCUUAAGAAGCACAUAUGUAUGAUUUCUCUGGGUGAGAGCUGUCAUGCCUAUAUGAUUUGUUUCUUAUUACAGUAUUCCAUUUCCACCACAAUUCUGACAUAUUUUUAAUACCUAUGUUCUUAUUUAAAUCAGACUGUUUCAUGCACCUGAUGUUUACUUUUUUUUUUUAAAGAUCUGCAGCAUUUGAAUAUAGAAUGCAUCUACAUUUGCUACUUGUCCCGUCUGUUUUUAUGUACUGUGAUUAUCAGAGGCCAUUUGCUUCUUGUAUUGUUAUUCCCUCAUAAGUUUUAUUAUACUCUAUCAUUUUCAUUUCUGAAUUACAGUAUUUUCUUAUUCCUGGAUUACAAGAUUUUCAUCGUUCCACUGCCUUGUGAUCCAUCAAUCAGAUCUGAGUGGUAAAACAAAACAAAGUAUAAACCUCAGUGAUGUAUAAACGGGGACAGGCUGAGAGCUGGGGCUCUUCAGCCUGGAGAAGAGAAAGACUGGGGGGGAACCUCAUAGCAGCCUUCCAAUACCUGCAGGGGCCUAUGGGAUGGCUGGGGAGGGACACUUUAGAAGGGCAGGUAGCAACAGGAUGAGGGGAAAUGGCUUUAAACUGAAAGCUGGCAGAU